Molecule: microRNA precursor, 206 nt
Filed under: Oryza glumipatula
Lineage: Eukaryota; Viridiplantae; Streptophyta; Magnoliopsida; Poales; Poaceae
Description: MIR812 microRNA precursor family
Rfam family: MIR812 microRNA precursor family
Source: Rfam by way of RNAcentral
AAUAAGUGUAGUUUUAGACCGUUCAUGUUCAACGUUUGAUCGUUCGUCUUAUUUAAUUUUUUUAUAAUUAUUAUUAUUAUUAUUAUUAGACGAUAAAACAUGAAUAUAAAUUUAUAUGUGACUAAUUAUUUUUAAUUUUUUAAUAAAUUUUUAAAAUAAGAUGGACGGUUAAAUGUUAGACACGGAUACUCACGACUGUACUUAUU